CCUACGGGAGGCAGCAGUGAGGAAUAUUGGUCAAUGGACGAGAGUCUGAACCAGCCAAGUAGCGUGAAGGAUGACGGCCCUAUGGGUUGUAAACUUCUUUUAUAAAGGUGUAAAACGAGACACGUGUGCCUUUUUGCAUGUACUUUAUGAAUAAGGAUCGGCUAACUCCGUGCCAGCAGCCGCGGUAAUACGGAGGAUCCGAGCGUUAUCCGGAUUUAUUGGGUUUAAAGGGAGCGUAGAUGGGUUGUUAAGUCAGUUGUGAAAGGUUGCGGCUCAACCUCGAAAUUGCAAUUGAUACUGGCAGGCUAGAGAACAGUUGCGGUAGGCGGAAUGCGUGGUGUAGCGGUGAAAUGCUUAGAUAUCACACAGAACCCCGAUUGCGAAGGCAGCUUACCAAGCUGUGACUGACAUUGAUGCUCGAAAGUGUGGGUAUCAAACAGGAUUAGAUACCCGUGUAGUC
RNAcentral lists this ribosomal RNA (460 nucleotides) under uncultured bacterium. RNAcentral describes it as "partial 16S ribosomal RNA". It matches the Rfam family "Bacterial small subunit ribosomal RNA", at positions 338 to 795 of the family's 1533-position model. The record is from RNAcentral.